GCAGCAGCCUGGAACGUCCACGUGGUCACAGUCCCGAGGGACGUGCAGUUAACCCAGCACAGCCAGCUCUGCUCGCGCUCGCCCUCCAGGCUACACCGGGCCGCGCAGGUGUCACCGAGCCUAGGUCCAGAGGCGGCUGACUCGGUUCGGCAGGCCGGGCGGCGUCAACAGAGAAGAGGUUUCACUCUCAGCCUGGACCCUCGACAGGGUCUCACUCUGUUGCCCAGGCUGGAGUGCAGUGGUAGGAUCUCAGCUCACGGCAACCUCCACCUCCUAGAUCAAGUGAUUCUUCUGCCUCAGCCUCCCAAGUAUCUGGGAUUACAGGCGUGCGCCACCAUGCCUGGCCCAUUUUUUUUUUUGUAUAUUUUAGUAGAGACGAGGUUUCACCACGUUGGCCAGGCUGGUCUGGAACUCCUGACCUCAGGUGAUCCACCCACCUUGGCCUCCCAAAGUGCUGGGAUUACAGGCUCAACUGUAUUUUUUAAAGGCAUGGUGAAGAAACCAGAAAAUACCACAGUAUUAAUGGCGGGUUUCUCUGGGGCUGGGAUCAUGGCAGUCCUCUUGUCAGCCAGCUGCUCCCACGUCAUCCAGUUGCCAGAACACUUUUCACAGGCAACUUGGCAAGGGCGGUGAGAAGCAAAAUUCUUAGGCGUGUCUACCUUGGUCAGUGUAGUACUGUAUGUAAAGUGGACAUCAGGUAAUAUGCCAUUUCUAAGUUACCCUCCCUAGAAAAGCACUCGAAUGUUCCCCUCAACACUGAAUCUGAGAGAGGGCAGAGGGGCAGCGGGAGUUAGUGGUCCCCAGUGCGCUCACGUCACUUGCUUUCAUCUGUGGGAACUUCCAGGAAGGUGUGGGAGGAGGAGGGUCGGCCAAGGGCACUCACAUAGACGGCGAAGUCCUUGGGGGCGCUGCUGAUGUUGCCUGUUGGUGACAGCGUCUUAGGGAUGUGCUCCAGAGUGAAGGCGGCUGGGUGGAUCAUCAUGGAGAGCCUCACCACCAGGUACCCCUGGGAGCCUUUAAAUGCCCAGCAGUUACCGGGGUAAAUGUCAGGCUGGGGAAAGGAAAAACAUGAGGACUAAGAGUGUGAGCAUGCUCUUACCCACUUAGCAGCAGGAAGAGGAAAGACUGAUUAUACUGAGAUAAAAAUAAGUUUUACAUGGUAGAAACUGCCAUGAGCAAAAUCCGAAGAUAAGCUGGGAAAGGCAUUUGUAAUUCACUCCUCGAAGGGCCACUAUCGCCAACCCAUAUGUUAUAUAAAACGACCAGAACCUUAAAGAAAAAUGGGUGAGACAUACAACAUACUUCAAAGAAAAGGUGAACGUCAAUGGUGCUUGGUCGUGGGAAGAUGCCCUCCACGCUGCACAGCAAGAAGGGACAACAUCACAGGGAACCACCACUGCCUCCAUCCGACCAACAUCAAGGGUCAGAGUCCGCUGCUGACACCCUGGGAAAACGCACGUUCUAACCUAACCCGGCCACGGUGCAGCGUGCAGCCCCAGAGGCACAGCUUGGCAAGGUCGGCCCGCUGUGCACACAUCUGCCUCUGGCCUGCAAUCGCACCUCCACCUCCAGGUGCAGGGGCAGAACUGCAGGAUGCAGACGCGAUCGGAGAGCACUCUUCACAGCACAACGUCCCCAGGGACUGACUGAGAAGUUGCAGACGCUGCGCCCAGGCAGCCGCGCUGCUGUGCGCGACGGAAGAGGAGACCAUGCGGGCAGCCUGCCUUCGGUGUGUGAGGACGACACAUGCAUUUCAUUCAUGUUUAGAAGAGACGGUGAACGAUGGGCACGUACCCGCCGGCUUCUCCUCUAUGCCAGCUGUGGAUUUACUGCCCCUCAGCCCCCAAGCCGUCUUCUGCUGCGCUGUGAAGAUGGAGCUGAGCCUUGAACUGCUCUCCCUUUGCCAGCCCAGAGCCUAGCCCUUGCCAGCUCAGGGUGCUGGAGGGACACUGAGGUUCCCUGGUACCCCUCUUGGGGGUGUUGCAGCCAAACGCCUGGAGCUGACAGCUUCUCAGUCCAGUCCCAUCACGUGAUUGGUGCUUCAUAUGAAGUCUGCCCUCCAGUGACCGUGCACGUCCUUCUGAGAGAGAACUGUGCCAGGGGAGGGCUGAGCUCCACCCUCUCCCUCAGUCUCUAAGACACUGAAGCCAUGCAGUGCUCUCACCACCAGAUCCUCACCAGCAUCACACUGACAACGCUGCAGGCCAGUGAGCUCCUCUGGGAGGGUCGGGAUCACCAAGCCCUCUGAGAAGGAUGUUAUGGCCAGGAGCAGGAGAACUGCCAUGCAGGAACACUGUGGCAACCCCGUGCAGGAAACCUGUCGGCCCUGCCAGGUGACACAGACUGUGCCGGUGGCGCUCGUGAGCUGGCACAGAAAAAGCAGCCGCAUGCCAAAUGCAGGGCUGUGUGGCUUUGUGGCAGCAGAGGCUGCGUCUGCCUGCAUUGAGGAGGGGCUCCAGCUGUGCCCUCAGGAGCGAGGCGCUGGUGAGCCCAUGCGGUGCUGAUGGCCGCAGAAAGCCAAACAGUCACGCUGACCGGACACUUCCGCCGGGGCAGCCUGGGGACGAGAUCAUGAUGACGACAGUCCCACGGGGUCCUCAACGUCAGGUCACAGGCACUUCAUGAAUUCUUUCAGGCUGGACUUGUGUUUUCCAAGUGAAAGACGUCUUGGCGUUGUUCCACAUACAAGGAAUUAUUGGACUUUUCUUCAAAACAUGGCAUGACUAUGAGGCAGGAUUUGAGUACUGAGGCAAAAUAAAUCUAUUUAAAUUCUCCAUCCUUUAGUGCUUUAAACUUGUACAGCCAGUAGUCUAAAGUAUUAAAUGAAGCCACAGAAAAGCAGCACACAACAAGGACCACAGCAGAAAGUCCAGGAGACGGGGGCUGAAGGCCCGGGGAGACGGGGGCGGGGAGGGGUGGGCGAAGGCCUGGGGAGACGGUGGG
This is a long non-coding RNA of Pongo pygmaeus (Bornean orangutan), 2943 nucleotides long. RefSeq lists it as uncharacterized. The record is from RefSeq and is a predicted model, not a curated record. The transcript has 3 exons. NCBI's taxonomy places the organism in Eukaryota, Metazoa, Chordata, Mammalia, Primates, Hominidae.